GUAAAGGACAGAGGUCACGACCUAGUAGCUAGCGAUGCUAAGACGUACACGGCGAGCUAGCUUGUGACCACAGGUGGAGACAGAGCGUCGCUAACAAAGUGCGUUUUGAACACACGUCUUGGGGAGAGACUUCCUGCGUCAGCGUCUCAACUCAAAUCCUGAACUAUGCUGCGACCCACUACGGGCGACAUGCAUGCUGCCAUUAAAGGGCUCGUAUGCGCCUUUAGUUCACAGGUCAUCUGCCUCCUCAUGUUGUGUUUAAGGGGCUCAGACACUAAAUCUAUUUAAAUCACUAAAUAGAGAAUAAAUCUUUGUUGGGGUUUUCGCACCAAGCUGAAAGUCGUGUAAGCAGAUUUAUUUCAGGAUUCUGAGGUGCAAGUUUUCUACUCCGACCUGUGACUUCCUGUCGCCGAGCCACAUAGAGAGCAAGGACACACACACACACACACACACACGCACACACACACAACGAUAUCGCACACACACACACACACACACACACACAACGAUAUCGCACACACACACACACACACACACACACACACGGUAAUGAUGUGUAAUUACACAAAGCCACCAUGCUGUUUAGCUGCUCGGCUGUUAUAUUGGCUUCCACAGAUAGCAUUCACACACACGCACACACAAACACACACAACUUGUGCACACUGCACUGCUGCAUUCAUAGGCAGACACACAAACACAUCAAUACACCCAGUGUGCAGGAAGGUGUGUGGUUUGUGGUGAUAAAGUGUAGCUGAACAAUGUUUCUGCCUUGAUACACACACACACACACACACACACACACACACAGACUCACACACAAUAAAGUGGCAUUGCCGAUCUGCUGAUUACAACCACAGAAAAGAACCAGGCGGAAAAUACGGGAAACGCCCCAAGAUAAGACCAGAGAAACGUGAAGAUGGCCGAGGGAAUAAAGACAGGAGGAGGUACACGGGGAGGAGGAGGAAGAGGAGGAGAAGGAGGAGGAGAAGGAGGAAGAGGAGGAGGGAGUAAGAGGAGGAACAGGAAGAUGAGGAGGAGGAGGAGGAGGAGCAAAGCAGCCGAGAACACGCAGAUCAUCACGCUGCUCAUAUGAAACGCAGCAUUGACACUAAAGUCUAUCUGUCAACUAGUGAACACACAGACACACAAAUUGGGUAAACAAAGAGUGUGUUCAGACUGUUAAAACGAAAAUCUAUACAUCUAAAACAUCAACGAUUAAAGGUGGAGAAAAAAAAUAUAUUUUUCAUCCAUUCAUGAAAUAUAAAAUGUUGUCAUCAAAGCAACUUUGACAAAAAACGUAAAAACAUCAUCUAAAAUGACGUCUCAUUUUAUGACGAAAGAGAAAGACGUUCAAAUCAGAGUAAAGCUUAUUAAAUAAAUCCUCAAUUGUAAAUCCUAUUUUAGACGUCGUCAUGGUGACGUGACAUGUGGCAACAAAGUUCCACAUCUUUACACCAUCUAAAGCCCUCACACACUCACCACAUCAUUUAUCACAUGACAUAUAUCAUAUCUCAUGUGUCAUUUAUCAUAUCAUCAUAUGACAUAUCUCAUAUCUCAUGUGUCAUUUAUCAUAUCAUCAUAUGACAUAUAUCAUAUCUCAUGUGUCAUUUAUCAUAUCAUAUGACAUAUAUCAUAUCUCAUGUGUCAUUUUACAUAUCAUAUGACAUAUAUCAUAUCUCAUGUGUCAUUUAUCAUAUCAUAUGACAUAUAUCAUAUCUCAGGUGUCAUUUAUCAUAUCAUCAUAUGACAUAUAUCAUAUCUCAUGUGUCAUUUAUCAUAUCAUAUGACAUAUAUCAUAUCUCAUGUGUCAUUUAUCAUAUCAUAUGACAUAUAUC
Long non-coding RNA from Gasterosteus aculeatus aculeatus (three-spined stickleback), 1835 nucleotides. The record is from Ensembl. NCBI's taxonomy places the organism in Eukaryota, Metazoa, Chordata, Actinopteri, Perciformes, Gasterosteidae.